RNAcentral lists this non-coding RNA (21 nucleotides) under Caenorhabditis elegans. The record is from RNAcentral. Lineage: Eukaryota; Metazoa; Nematoda; Chromadorea; Rhabditida; Rhabditidae.
UUAUGAAUUUUACCGAGUUGG